GACGAACGCUGGCGGCGUGCUUAACACAUGCAAGUCGAACGGAAAGGCCCCAGCUUGCUGGGGUACUCGAGUGGCGAACGGGUGAGUAACACGUGGGUGAUCUGCCCUGCACUCUGGGAUAAGCCUGGGAAACUGGGUCUAAUACCGGAUAGGACCGUGCUUUAGUGUGUGCGGUGGAAAGUUUUUCGGUGCAGGAUGAGCCCGGGGCCUAUCAGCUUGUUGGUGGGGUAAUGGCCUACCAAGGCCGCGACGGGUAGCCGGCCUGGGAGGGUGUACGGCCACAUUGGGACUGAGACACGGCACAGACGCCUACGGGAGGCAGCAGGGGGGAAUAUUGCACAAUGGGCGCAAGCCUGAUGCAGAGACGCCGCGUGGGGGAUGACGGCCUGCGGGUUGUAAACCCCUUUCGGCAGGGACGAAGCUUUUGUGACGGUACCUGAAUAAGAAGCACCGGCUAACUACGUG
RNAcentral lists this ribosomal RNA (465 nucleotides) under uncultured bacterium. RNAcentral's name for it is "partial 16S ribosomal RNA". It matches the Rfam family "Bacterial small subunit ribosomal RNA", at positions 28 to 507 of the family's 1533-position model. The record is from RNAcentral.